UUCUGAAAAAUGCCUUGACAGGAUGAAGGCCCUCUAUGAACUGUUAAUUAAUGGUUGUACUAACCAGCAGCCCGCCACCAGUCCUCCUCCCAUCCAGUCCACCAUCCAUCCCAUCACCAGUCCAUCUCCCAUCCAUCCCAUCACCAGUCCUCCUCCCAUCCAGUCCAUCACCAGUCCUCCUCCCAUCCAGCCCGCCACCAGUCCUCCUCCCAUCCAGUCUAUCACCAGUCCUCCUCCCAUCCAGUCCAUCACCAGUCCUCCUCCCAUCCAGUCCAUCACCAGUCCUCCUCCCAUCCAGUCCAUCACCAGUCCUCCUCCCAUCCAGCCCAUCACCAGUCCUCCUCCCAUCCAGUCCACCAUCCAACUCACCACCAGUCCUCCCAUCCUACCCAUCACAGAACCACCUCAGCAGAAACGCAAUAUGUCUGCAAACAAUAAAAAGAAGCAGAAGAAUUCUGCAGCCUCAGACAUGUCUACAAGGAAGAAACUGAGGGGGAAAAAAUCACCCAAAGAAUGUAACCAUGGGAUCCUAGAAGGGGAACCUUACUACCCAGUGAAGAGGGUGAUCCGCUGCAAAAUGCAGAAGGGGAUCCAAAUGAAGUUGGUGGAAUGGGAGCCCUGUUCACUCUGUGGGAAAACUUGGCCGCCACAGUGGGUGACGGAGGAGAACACCACAAAUUAAGGAAAUGUUCAAUCCCAUUGUUUUGUUCCAUAAGUUAUGUGUAUGUUGUUUACAGUAUAUUAAAAAAAAUUCAAAAGCC
Long non-coding RNA from Cyprinus carpio carpio, 761 nucleotides. The record is from Ensembl. Lineage: Eukaryota; Metazoa; Chordata; Actinopteri; Cypriniformes; Cyprinidae.